Molecule: ribosomal RNA, 301 nt
Filed under: uncultured bacterium
Lineage: Bacteria
Description: partial 16S ribosomal RNA
Rfam family: Bacterial small subunit ribosomal RNA
Source: RNAcentral
CAGUCGCCACGGUAAAACGAAGGGGGCUAGCGUUGUUCGGAAUCACUGGGCGUAAAGCGCACGUAGGCGGACUUUUAAGUCAGGGGUGAAAUCCCAAGGCUCAACCUUGGAACUGCCUUUGAUACUGGAAGUCUUGAGUUCGGGAGAGGUGAGUGGAACUGCGAGUGUAGAGGUGAAAUUCGUAGAUAUUCGCAAGAACACCAGUGGCGAAGGCGGCUCACUGGCCCGAUACUGACGCUGAGGUGCGAAAGCGUGGGGAGCAAACAGGAUUAGAUACCCGCGUAGUCCCUGUCUCUUAUAC